CAGUCGAGCGAACAGAUAAGGAGCUUGCUCCUUUGACGUUAGCGGCGGACGGGUGAGUAACACGUGGGUAACCUACCUAUAAGACUGGAAUAACUCCGGGAAACCGGGGCUAAUGCCGGAUAACAUUUAGAACCGCAUGGUUCUAAAGUGAAAGAUGGUUUUGCUAUCACUUAUAGAUGGACCCGCGCCGUAUUAGCUAGUUGGUAAGGUAACGGCUUACCAAGGCAACGAUACGUAGCCGACCUGAGAGGGUGAUCGGCCACACUGGAACUGAGACACGGUCCAGACUCCUACGGGAGGCAGCAGUAGGGAAUCUUCCGCAAUGGGCGAAAGCCUGACGGAGCAACGCCGCGUGAGUGAUGAAGGUCUUCGGAUCGUAAAACUCUGUUAUUAGGGAAGAACAAAUGUGUAAGUAACUGUGCACGUCUUGACGGUACCUAAUCAGAAAGCCACGGCUAACUACGUGCCAGCAGCCGCGGUAAUACGUAGGUGGCAAGCGUUAUCCGGAAUUAUUGGGCGUAAAGCGCGCGUAGGCGGUUUCUUAAGUCUGAUGUGAAAGCCCACGGCUCAACCGUGGAGGGUCAUUGGAAACUGGGAAACUUGAGUGCAGAAGAGGAAAGUGGAAUUCCAUGUGUAGCGGUGAAAUGCGCA
Molecule: ribosomal RNA, 651 nt
Filed under: Staphylococcus sp. DST3
Lineage: Bacteria; Bacillati; Bacillota; Bacilli; Caryophanales; Staphylococcaceae
Description: bacterial SSU rRNA
Rfam family: Bacterial small subunit ribosomal RNA
Source: RNAcentral